This is a long non-coding RNA of Acinonyx jubatus (cheetah), 3901 nucleotides long. RefSeq lists it as uncharacterized. The transcript is spliced from 3 exons. The record is from RefSeq and is a predicted model, not a curated record. Lineage: Eukaryota; Metazoa; Chordata; Mammalia; Carnivora; Felidae.
ACCCCAGUCCCCGAAGGCGUUUUGGGGGAGUCCUACAGGAGCUCCCAAAGAAUUCCUGCUGCCGGUGCGGCUGCUGCCCUCCUGGGUGCCCCCGGCACCCCCCCCAACCCUCGGCAGGCAGGCGCCGGAAUUUGUGCGUGCAGGCUGUAACAGACAUGCUGUGCGAUGCGUGAGUGUGGCGUGAAAGCGCCGGGCAUCCCCAGCCGUGCUUCUCUGCGGGUGGUGCUCUAUUGAGUUCUAAUGCUGGAUGCUGCCAUGAAGAAGUCAGAGGCCAGCCUGAUAUGCCCCCACUUGCUCCAUGUAAGGUGCUGGGGACAGAGAGGUGAACGAGAACGAGACAUUCAAGACAUCUGCCCCAUGGAGUGUGUGUUCCAGGUGGGGGAAAUAGACAAAAAAGAAGCUGUACUGAAUAUUUGCUCUUCGCCCAAUGACCUUUAAAAUUUCUUUCUAUAUUUUGAUUAUUCCGGAUAUCUUGAGUUCCUCCUUCCCAAAGCAGAAGCCUGCCUCUCUUGAAGCGAAGGUGCAGGCAUGUGACCUACUUCCCUCCAAUCACACUCACCGAUCGAUCUGAGAUACCAAUGGCGGGGCGUGGGGGUGGGGGGCAGUGAGCUCUGUGUGGGGCCAGCUGCAUGCUAGCCUGGGUGGUGGCCAAGGCGGUAUGGCUCUGGAGUCAGUGACGACAGCAGCAGCUCCCACAUCGGUUGUGCGCUUCUUGGACACGCUCCUGAAAACUGCAUCUAGAGUCUGUUUCUUCACCAUCCGAUAAGCUAACAUCCCUGAGUAAAUUCCCUUUCUACUCAAACUGGCCAGAAUGGACUCUGCUGUGUGCAAGCAAGAAUACUGUGAAUGUGCAAAGAAGUAAAUAUACACACUAAAGAAACUAAGACCUCCUCCCUCUUUGUCAGGUGCACAGAUUAUAGGAGCCUGGGAUGAGAGCCUUUGUACCUGGUGCCCUGGCCAAAGGCUCUUGAUCUCUUGUAGGGAGUACUAUACUGUCCUCCUCUGUGAGGACUGUGAGAUGAUAUGUACUGGGAUGGGAUUGUGUAUUUUUAUUUUUAAUCUGCUUUUUUAUUUUGUUAAAGAUUUUAUUUCUAUGUAAUCUCUACACCCAGUGUGGGGCUUGAACUUACAACCCUGAGGUCAAGAGUCACCUGCUCUUCCUACUGAGCCAGCCAGGCGCCCCAGAUUAAUGGUAUUGUCAUACAAUUAUGUACCCAUCUCGUGGUCAGAAAUAAGCAAGGGGCUAGAGCCUGACUGGACCUGUCUCAGGAAGGGAAGAAGGAAAGAAACAAUCCAGGAUGUGUGGCCUUGGGGUUGUGGGCCCUCCAGGUCCUGCAUAUCUAUGUGAUGGAGGCUGGCUCAGUGUCCCCGGAAGCCAGAUUUACGCCCUCUGACGUCACCGUUAAGAUUAGCUGCAGAAGGGAAAAUGGGGGUCCUGCCCACAAUUCAGGCUCUGCUUUAAUUAAAUCAGUGUCUUGUCCUGGGAGACAAAACGACUCGCCAAGAACACUAAACUGAUGGCAGGGGAAGUGAGUGCCAUGGAAGUGCUUUGUGCACUGGCAGGUCCGGUCUGUUAGCAGCGCAAGGUGAGAGGUGUUUUUCUGUCGGAUGCAUUUCUUUGCAUUUUCCAAGGCUGGUGGAUCAAUAGCUACACACAGCUGAAAUAAAUUUCUGUCUUUGCUCUCCGUACCCUGUGACAGGGAGAUGUUGGGCCAUUAGAUAACUCUGGUUCCCAUCCGGUGUUCCUCCUGUCAGUGACUGCUGUCCGUGACCUCUCUAGGUACUCACAACAGCCUUCUAAGGUGAGGGCUACUGUGUCUAUUUCAGAGACAGGAAAACCGAGGCCCGGGGCGGGGGGACAUCAUGAGGCAGAGUCCCAGGGCCUCUGUGCAUGUAAGCUGUUGGUUCUUCCAAGUUCUGUCAUUACCAUUGUCUAUUUUCCGGGCUACAGAGGAAUCAUGACCCUCAGAGAGGAAACAUUGCUUGCCCAAGGUCACAGAGCCAGUGAAAGGCAGGGCUGGAGUUAGAAGCCGGCCUGUUGGAUCACAGAGCCUCCUGCUAGGAGAGCUCAUCAGCCUGGGCUGGGCUGACCUCUGCAUGCCUGCCCUGGAAUCAAUGGGAGAAAGGCAUCAAGAUGUAUAUUCCUCUGAGAGCCCCUGGAGGGAGAAGCAGGCUCCUUCCCCAUCCGCAGUAGCAAGGGCAUCAAUUCCUGGCUCUGGAAGGCCCUACUCCCCAAAGCUGCAGCUCUAUUUUUAGCCUUGAAUCCAUCAAUAAAUGGAGCCUGGCAGAGCAGGCGACUCCUGGCUGCCUGAUAUUAAUAAGAUGAGAGAACGGGACCAUUUAUUAAGCGCUUUCUGUGUGCUGGGCAUUAUGCAAAGUGCUUAACAUGGAUUAUCUACUUAAAUCUUACAACAUUCCUAUGGAAUAACUACUAUUAUGAUCAUUUUAUAAAUAAGGAAAGUAAGGCGCAAAGAGGUUAGGGGACUUGCUUGAGGCCACGCAGCUGAUAAACUGCAGAGCCAGGAUCCAAAUGCAGGUCAGACCCAGGUUUGUGGGAUUCUGAGCCCACGUGCUUUCCUCCUUACCACUUGGUCCAAUAAAACAGGCCCCUGUUUGCCCACCCUGGGGGUGGGGGGCAGAGGCGGCAGCCGCAAUCAUGGUACCAGGAGGUGUUGUGAGGCAGGAAGGAGCCACAAGCUCCAAUUGGUUGGUUGGUUUCUGUCACUGAGAACAGAAACCCGACCUGAGCGUCUCCAGAGGGAGAAAGGCUGGAAGAGCCUUGUGGGCAGAAGGAAUAGCAUAGGCAAAGGCAAGGAGGUAUAAAGUGAGGCCUGUUCAGGGCACAGUGAACAGUCUGGUGGGAUUUGGGCAGAGAAGGAAGACGAGGCCAGUCUUGGAGCAGGGCAAGAUUCCGUAAGAUCUUCAAUCCCGGGAAGUUUCGAUAUUCUGGAUCCUGGAGGGAUUGUGAGUGAAAGAGUGGCUUUGUCAUGUCUGAGCUUCAGAGCAGGGGGUGGACUUGAGAAAGAGACGUGGGAGAGGGAGACAGAUGGCUAUUCUCACUACUGGUAGUGACAAUAGCUGCCAUUUGCUGAACACCUGCUAUGUGUGUUAGGCCCCAUAGUAGGUGCUUUUCCCAAGUUAUCACCUAAUAAACACAGUGGUGGCCAUUGGAAGGCUUUCAUUAUCCCUCUUUUACAGAAGAGGAAACAGAGGUUUUGUGAGGUCAAGUGACUGCUCAGGGCCACUAGGAUUGGAAUCUCCAGAGACCUUGGUGCUACACUGGCCAGAGAGGAGGGUGUGUAACAGUAACAGUCUCAGGCAAAAGGACAUUUGUCUGAAGUCUCAGGAACAGAGACGAUAAGGUAGGUUUCAAAGAUAACAGAGACGAAGAUUUUUUUGUUUUAUUUUGUCCUUUAAAUAAGUUUAUUCUCACACAUUGAGGAUAGCAUUUAUGUUACUAAGGUUACAAAGCUUUUCUGGGGCCGGAACUGGCAGAAAGACUCAGCCAAGGGAGAGGGCAUUGUUUCUCAGGGCAGUGGCUAGGAGAAGGAAGAAAAGGCAGGGUCUCAAGUUCAGUGUGUCCAGUGGCACAGUCAGAGGUGCAGCCAGGGCUCAGGGUUCGAAGGCCCUAUGGCAAGCGGCAGGGGUGAGUGAAGGAAGGGGUCAGUCUGGGUCCCAACUGCAUCUGACAUCUGACAUCAGUAGGGUUGCAGAGUCUCCAAAGAGGUGGGAAAUAUACCUCCCUCCACCCCCUGCCCACCACACACAAUAAUAGAGAUAUGUCAAAAUGUUAAGAGACACAGGACCCAACUAGAAGAACUCCCAGUGGCCACAGCUGGAACAGUCUGACCAACAAAAUAAAUAAAGCAGCACUGGGGGCACCUGGGUUGCUCAGGCGGUU